This 303-nucleotide long non-coding RNA is filed under the name Elaeis guineensis (African oil palm). Its description in RNAcentral is "long non-coding RNA (EGUI_LNC011415)". Lineage: Eukaryota; Viridiplantae; Streptophyta; Magnoliopsida; Arecales; Arecaceae. The record is from RNAcentral.
CUCCUUUUCUUUUUUUCUUCUUAGAGUUGAAAAAUACUCAUGAUUGACUAUAGUUUGGAUUCGUGGAUGAGUGGAUGAAUAGAUAGAACAUCAUUGAUAUCUCAUCGAAUGAUUGAAGGAAUUGAAUUUGUAAUUGUGCAUGUCUUGCCAAUUAUUAUGAAAUUAGAUCAUUAUUACUUAUGGAUACAAGGUUGUAAUAAAUUAUAGAGGUUAUAAUAAAUUAUAAGGCCUUACAUGAUCUCUAAGGUUUCGCUAUAGGAUUCAUGCAGCCAUCGCAUUCCUGAUUCAGACUGUCACACUUUA